Molecule: long non-coding RNA, 393 nt
Filed under: Mus musculus (house mouse)
Lineage: Eukaryota; Metazoa; Chordata; Mammalia; Rodentia; Muridae
Description: long non-coding RNA chr1:166315101-166315494
Source: RNAcentral
AACAUAUCCUUUUAGAAUGCCUUGUGGUAGAUGCAUUUGGGUGGUGCUAUACUGGAUCAUACCUCUGGUGCACCCCUAUCUGCUGGCCAGGAAUAUUGUUUGUGCUGUGGAUUAUUUCAUUCCAAUAUCACUGUGAGGUCCCUCUAACUUCCUUAGGUCUGGCACUGGUGUGGCAUCCAGCAGUCCCAGCUAUGACACUGGAGAAUGGCUCACCAGAGUCAGGCUGAAAGGAAACAUUUAAAGGGAGGGGGUUGGAGGACCUCCCCCCGGGAGGCUUCUUGACAUGUUCCAACUCCCAGAAUAGUGAUAUGUUGUGACAGGCUGAGAUCAGACAACAGGAAUUACAGACAAUUUUCUUAUUCCCUUACCAUCCUGAAUAAAACUUAGCUCAUG